Molecule: ribosomal RNA, 254 nt
Filed under: uncultured bacterium
Lineage: Bacteria
Description: partial 16S ribosomal RNA
Rfam family: Bacterial small subunit ribosomal RNA
Source: RNAcentral
UACAGAGGUCCCAAGCGUUGUUCGGAUUCACUGGGCGUAAAGGGUGCGUAGGUGGUUAGGUAAGUCCGAUGUGAAAUCUCCAGGCUCAACCUGGAAAUGGCAUUGGAUACUAUCUAGCUUGAGGAGUGGAGGGGGGACUGGAAUUCUCGGUGUAGCAGUGAAAUGCGUAGAUAUCGAGAGGAACACCAGUGGCGAAGGCGAGUCCCUGGACACUUCCUGACACUGAGGCACGAAAGCUAGGGGAAGCAAACAGG